RNAcentral lists this ribosomal RNA (870 nucleotides) under uncultured Limnohabitans sp. RNAcentral's name for it is "bacterial SSU rRNA". It matches the Rfam family "Bacterial small subunit ribosomal RNA", at positions 8 to 878 of the family's 1533-position model. The record is from RNAcentral. Lineage: Bacteria; Pseudomonadati; Pseudomonadota; Betaproteobacteria; Burkholderiales; Comamonadaceae.
AGAGUUUGAUCAUGGCUCAGAUUGAACGCUGGCGGAAUGCUUUACACAUGCAAGUCGAACGGUAGAGGGGGCAACCCCUCGAGAGCGGCGAACGGGUGAGUAAUAUAUCGGAACGUGCCCAGUCGUGGGGGAUAACGUAGCGAAAGUUACGCUAAUACCGCAUACGAUCUACGGAUGAAAGCGGGGGAUCGCAAGACCUCGCGCGAUUGGAGCGGCCGAUAUCAGAUUAGGUAGUUGGUGGGGUAAAGGCUCACCAAGCCAACGAUCUGUAGCUGGUCUGAGAGGACGACCAGCCACACUGGAACUGAGACACGGUCCAGACUCCUACGGGAGGCAGCAGUGGGGAAUUUUGGACAAUGGACGCAAGUCUGAUCCAGCCAUUCCGCGUGCAGGAUGAAGGCCCUCGGGUUGUAAACUGCUUUUGUACGGAACGAAAAGGUUUCCAUUAAUACUGGGAGCUCAUGACGGUACCGUAAGAAUAAGCACCGGCUAACUACGUGCCAGCAGCCGCGGUAAUACGUAGGGUGCAAGCGUUAAUCGGAAUUACUGGGCGUAAAGCGUGCGCAGGCGGUUAUGUAAGACAGAGGUGAAAUCCCCGGGCUCAACCUGGGAACUGCCUUUGUGACUGCAUAGCUAGAGUACGGUAGAGGGGGAUGGAAUUCCGCGUGUAGCAGUGAAAUGCGUAGAUACGCGGAGGAACACCGAUGGCGAAGGCAAUCCCCUGGACCUGUACUGACGCUCAUGCACGAAAGCGUGGGGAGCAAACAGGAUUAGAUACCCUGGUAGUCCACGCCCUAAACGAUGUCAACUGGUUGUUGGGUCUUCACUGACUCAGUAACGAAGCUAACGCGUGAAGUUGACCGCCUGGGG